AGCAAAGGGAGAGAAUCAUCUCCCUUGACCUGCUCGUCACCCUCUUUUAGUGCGCCCCAGGAUACCACUAGGUAUCUUGGCCACAAGAGCACACUGUUAACUCUGCAGAGCUCUUUUCCAGCAGAACAUCCCCUAGCCUAUACGGUUAUUUCUCCUCAGAUUCAAAGAAAAGGAAGCUUCGUGAAUACUUACAUCGGAAAACAACUAUGGACUGCACUAGAUUUCCAAUCCAAAACAAUAGCACUUGAGCUGUAGCUGGAUAAAGAUGAAUGGGUAUGUUUUUGAGCAGUCGGAACUUGGAGCUGUGGGAAGUCUGUAUUAAUUUCUGCUGGCUAAGAAACUGCAGAAGAAUUAUGCCAUCUGUAAUCAGGCUGAGAGAUCUCAAUUAUCACAGUUCUACAUGACUAGGCUAAAGAUGCUAACAACCUCUACCAGAGAACAGCUUUUUCAGACUUUCACCUUCCCUGUGGAACUAUUGUACAAGAGUUCAUAAAGUUUAGAAGAAAAAUAUUUUGACCUACAAUGCAAAACCUCUUGAUAUUUUGUCAAAUUUAUUUUAUGCCAGCAGCAUUCACUGAUUUUAAUUGAAUGGAAACAACAGUUCUCAUCUUCUAUGUCACAUUGCUGGAUUUUGUAUCAUUGAAUUUCAAGCUAGUUUCACUGGGACCUGUCGAGUGUGGCUUAUGCCAACCUCUGAGUCUCCUUGCUAAACUCUUUUCCAGGGCAGCAUUGUUUGCCUUUUGUCUGUUCUCUGAUUAA
Molecule: long non-coding RNA, 759 nt
Organism: Numida meleagris (helmeted guineafowl)
Lineage: Eukaryota; Metazoa; Chordata; Aves; Galliformes; Numididae
Exons: 5
Source: RefSeq, a predicted model, not a curated record